AGUCAAAGAAUCACACAAAUCACAAUCAGAGCAGAAAAGCUCAUCGCAAUGGAAUUAAAAAGCCAAAGAAGUACAGACACGAAUCUACCCUUGGUAUGGAUUUGAAAUUCCUGCGUAACCAGCGUUUUGCUAAGAAGCACAACUUGAAGCCUAAGGCACAGCUCAAGAGAGCAGCUGAACGCAAGGCUGUCCGUGAAGCCAAGAAAUAAACUUCUGUCUAUUCUCAUGUACUUCUUAAAAUAAAAAUUUUAAACUAA
Long non-coding RNA from Neodiprion virginianus, 257 nucleotides. RefSeq lists it as uncharacterized. NCBI's taxonomy places the organism in Eukaryota, Metazoa, Arthropoda, Insecta, Hymenoptera, Diprionidae. The record is from RefSeq and is a predicted model, not a curated record. The transcript has 3 exons.